This 272-nucleotide ribosomal RNA is filed under the name Bacillus sp. ISO17_OTU15925. RNAcentral's name for it is "partial 16S ribosomal RNA". It matches the Rfam family "Bacterial small subunit ribosomal RNA", at positions 29 to 289 of the family's 1533-position model. RNAcentral also lists the same sequence under 6 other names. Lineage: Bacteria; Bacillati; Bacillota; Bacilli; Caryophanales; Bacillaceae. The record is from RNAcentral.
AUGAACGCUGGCGGCGUGCCUAAUACAUGCAAGUCGAGCGAAUGGAUUAAGAGCUUGCUCUUAUGAAGUUAGCGGCGGACGGGUGAGUAACACGUGGGUAACCUACCCAUAAGACUGGGAUAACUCCGGGAAACCGGGGCUAAUACCGGAUAAUAUUUUGAACUGCAUAGUUCGAAAUUGAAAGGCGGCUUCGGCUGUCACUUAUGGAUGGACCCGCGUCGCAUUAGCUAGUUGGUGAGGUAACGGCUCACCAAGGCGACGAUGCGUAGCCG